RNAcentral lists this ribosomal RNA (430 nucleotides) under uncultured bacterium. Its description in RNAcentral is "partial 16S ribosomal RNA". It matches the Rfam family "Bacterial small subunit ribosomal RNA", at positions 338 to 795 of the family's 1533-position model. The record is from RNAcentral.
CCUACGGGAGGCUGCAGUGGGGAAUAUUGCACAAUGGGCGAAAGCCUGAUGCAGCGACGCCGCGUGGGGAUGACGGCCUUCGGGUUGUAAACCUCUUUCAGUAGGGAAGCGGUACCUGCAGAAGAAGCGCCGGCUAACUACGUGCCAGCAGCCGCGGUAAUACGUAGGGCGCAAGCGUUGUCCGGAAUUAUUGGGCGUAAAGAGCUUGUAGGUGGCUUGUCGCGUCUGCCGUGAAAACCCGAGGCUCAACCUCGGGCGUGCGGUGGGUACGGGCAGGCUAGAGUGUGGUAGGGGAGACUGGAACUCCUGGUGUAGCGGUGAAAUGCGCAGAUAUCAGGAAGAACACCGAUGGCGAAGGCAGGUCUCUGGGCCAUACUGACCUGAGAAGCGAAAGCAUGGGUAGCGAACAGGAUUAGAUACCCUUGUAGUC